RNAcentral lists this ribosomal RNA (859 nucleotides) under uncultured marine bacterium. RNAcentral's name for it is "bacterial SSU rRNA". It matches the Rfam family "Bacterial small subunit ribosomal RNA", at positions 62 to 968 of the family's 1533-position model. The record is from RNAcentral.
UCGAACGAAGUAGCAAUACUUAGUGGCGAACGGGUGAGUAUAAUGUGGGUAUCUGCCCUUUGGUUUGGAAUAACACGAGGAAACUUGUGCUAAUACCGGAUAAGCCUUCACAGGGAAAGCUUUAGCGCCAAAGGAUGAGCCUGCACUUGAUUAGCUAGUUGGUAAGGUAAUGGCUUACCAAGGCAACGAUCAAUAGCUGUUCUUAGAGGAAGACCAGCCACAUUGGGACUGAGACAGGAUCCAAACUUAUACGGGAGGCAGCAGUGGGGAAUAUUGCACAAUGGGGGAAACCCUGAUGCAGCGAUGCCGCGUGAGUGAAGAAGGCCCUUGGGUUGUAAAGCUCUUUCGUCGGGGAAGAAAAUGACUGUACCCGAAUAAGAGGGUCCGGCUAACUUCGUGCCAGCAGCCGCGGUAAUACGAAGGGACCUAGCGUAGUUCGGAAUUACUGGGCUUAAAGAGCACGUAGGUGGUUAAGAAAGUUGGUGGUGAAAUCCCAAGGCUUAACCUUGGAACUGCCACCAAAACUUUUUAACUAGAGUAUGAUUGAGGUAAGCGGAAUUUCUAGUGUAGAGGUGAAAUUCGUAGAUAUUAGAAAGAACACCAAUUGCGAAGGCAGCUUUCUGGAUCAUUACUGACACUGAGGUGCGAAAGCAUGGGUAGCGAAGAGGAUUAGAUACCCUCGUAGUCCAUGCCGUAAACGAUGUGUGCUAGACGUUGGGAAUUUAUUUUUCAGUGUCGCAGCAAAAGCGUUAAGCACACCGCCUGGGGAGUACGACCGCAAGGUUAAAACUCAAAUGAAUUGACGGGGGACCCGCACAAGUAGUGGAGCAUGUGGUUUAAUUCGAAGAAACGCGCAGAA